GACUAUACUUCAGAGUUUGAUCCUGGCUCAGAUUGAACGCUGGCGGCAGGCCUAACACAUGCAAGUCGAACGGUAACAGGAAGCAGCUUGCUGCUUCGCUGACGAGUGGCGGACGGGUGAGUAAUGUCUGGGAAACUGCCUGAUGGAGGGGGAUAACUACUGGAAACGGUAGCUAAUACCGCAUAACGUCGCAAGACCAAAGAGGGGGACCUUCGGGCCUCUUGCCAUCGGAUGUGCCCAGAUGGGAUUAGCUUGUUGGUGGGGUAACGGCUCACCAAGGCGACGAUCCCUAGCUGGUCUGAGAGGAUGACCAGCCACACUGGAACUGAGACACGGUCCAG
This 341-nucleotide ribosomal RNA is filed under the name uncultured bacterium. RNAcentral's name for it is "bacterial SSU rRNA". It matches the Rfam family "Bacterial small subunit ribosomal RNA", at positions 1 to 334 of the family's 1533-position model. The record is from RNAcentral.